UUGCAGGCUGAAACUCGCCUGCAUGAAGUCGGAAUUGCUAGUAAUCGCAGAUCAGCAUGCUGCGGUGAAUACGUUCCCGGGCCUUGUACACACCGCCCGUCACACCAUGGGAGUCGGUAACACCCGAAGCCUGUAGUCUAACCGCAAGGAGGACGCAGUCGAAGGUGGGAUUGAUGACUGGGGUGAAGUCGUAACAAGGUAGC
RNAcentral lists this ribosomal RNA (203 nucleotides) under uncultured bacterium. RNAcentral's name for it is "partial 16S ribosomal RNA". It matches the Rfam family "Bacterial small subunit ribosomal RNA", at positions 1298 to 1500 of the family's 1533-position model. The record is from RNAcentral.